UAUCUUCUGUGAUGCACGUUAUCUACUCGUGGUAACUUGAGCCGAUAAGAUAUAUCGCAGGGAAUCUGAAAGUAGUGUUGUUGAGCAUGUCCGUCCACGCGGAAAGCCUGAUACGCUAUCUAAGGUACCCACUUGAACUUCUGGUUCAAGUUCAAUGUAUGAGACGACAUUACGGUUGAUAC
This 182-nucleotide non-coding RNA is filed under the name Pseudomonadota bacterium. RNAcentral describes it as "Proteobacteria bacterium 6S RNA". It matches the Rfam family "6S / SsrS RNA". Rfam says of the family: E. coli 6S RNA was the first non coding RNA to be sequenced, but its function was unknown until recently. It consists of 184 nucleotides that fold into an extended hairpin structure with a large single-stranded internal bulge. The 6S RNA specifically associates with RNA polymerase holoenzyme containing the sigma70 specificity factor. The record is from RNAcentral. Lineage: Bacteria; Pseudomonadati; Pseudomonadota.